RNAcentral lists this ribosomal RNA (265 nucleotides) under uncultured bacterium. RNAcentral's name for it is "partial 16S ribosomal RNA". It matches the Rfam family "Bacterial small subunit ribosomal RNA", at positions 333 to 609 of the family's 1533-position model. The record is from RNAcentral.
UCCCUCCUACGGGAGGCAGCAGUCGAGAAUCAUUCACAAUGGGGGAAACCCUGAUGGUGCGACGCCGCGUGGGGGAAUGAAGGUCUUCGGAUUGUAAACCCCUGUCAUGUGGGAGCAAAUUAAAAAGAUAGUACCACAAGAGGAAGAGACGGCUAACUUUGUGCCAGCAGCCGCGGUAAUACAGAGGUCUCAAGCGUUGUUCGGAAUCAACGGGCGUAAAGCGUGAGUAGGCUGUUUCGUAAGUCGUGUGUGAAAGGCGCGGGUU